GGAGUCAACCGGGUAGUCGCUGUGUCGAUGCGAUGCAGAGGAAAGUCCGGGCUCCAAGGGCAGGGUGCCAGGUAACGCCUGGGGAGUGCGAGCUCACGGAAAGUGCCACAGAGAAAAGACCGCCAACCCCCGGCGGGCAGCCGGUAACGGUCCGGCCGGUCGGGGCGGCAAGGGUGAAAAGGUGCGGUAAGAGCGCACCGCGCCGGCUAACGCCGGUGGCAGGGUAAACCCCACCUGGAGCAAGGCCAAAUAGGGGAGCGAGCCCCCCAUGAGGGGUGGCGACACGUGGCCCGCGUGGGCUCCCGGGUAGGUCGCUAGAGGUGCAUGGUGACAUGCAUCCAAGAUAAAUGACUGCCCCGCUAAGGCCAUUGUGUGCCGCGGCGGACAGAACCCGGCUUACAGGUUGACUCCUGCA
This 415-nucleotide RNase P RNA is filed under the name Gammaproteobacteria bacterium. RNAcentral's name for it is "RNase P RNA component class A". It matches the Rfam family "Bacterial RNase P class A". Rfam says of the family: Ribonuclease P (RNase P) is a ubiquitous endoribonuclease, found in archaea, bacteria and eukarya as well as chloroplasts and mitochondria. Its best characterised activity is the generation of mature 5'-ends of tRNAs by cleaving the 5'-leader elements of precursor-tRNAs. The record is from RNAcentral. Lineage: Bacteria; Pseudomonadati; Pseudomonadota; Gammaproteobacteria.